AAACCAGCACCUCAAGUGGUCAGGAUGAUUAUUGGGCCUAAAGCAUCCGUAGCCGGCUCUGUAAGUUUUCGGUUAAAUCUGUACGCUUAACGUACAGGCUGCCGGAAAUACUGCAGAGCUAGGGAGUGGGAGAGGUAGACGGUACUCGGGAGGAAGGGGUAAAAUGCUUUGAUCUCUCGAUGACCACCUGUGGCGAAGGCGGUCUACCAGAACACGUCCGACGGUGAGGGAUGAAAGCUGGGGGAGCAAACCGGAUUAGAAACCCGGGUAGUCC
RNAcentral lists this ribosomal RNA (274 nucleotides) under uncultured bacterium. Its description in RNAcentral is "partial 16S ribosomal RNA". It matches the Rfam family "Archaeal small subunit ribosomal RNA", at positions 473 to 747 of the family's 1478-position model. The record is from RNAcentral.